RNAcentral lists this ribosomal RNA (490 nucleotides) under uncultured bacterium. RNAcentral describes it as "partial 16S ribosomal RNA". It matches the Rfam family "Bacterial small subunit ribosomal RNA", at positions 29 to 507 of the family's 1533-position model. The record is from RNAcentral.
AGUGAACGCUGGCGGCAGGCCUAAUACAUGCAAGUCGAACGGCAGCACAGUGGAGCUUGCUCCAUGGGUGGCGAGUGGCGGACGGGUGAGGAAUACAUGGGAAUCUGCCCAGUCGUGGGGGAUAACGUAGGGAAACUUACGCUAAUACCGCAUGCGCCCUUCGGGGGAAAGCCGGGGACCUUCGGGCCUGGCGCGAUCGGAUGAGCCCAUGUUCGAUUAGCUAGUUGGCGGGGUAAAGGCCCACCAAGGCGACGAUCGAUAGCUGGUCUGAGAGGAUGAUCAGCCACACUGGGGCUGAGACACGGCCCAGACUCCUACGGGAGGCAGCAGUAGGGAAUAUUGGACAAUGGGCGCAAGCCUGAUCCAGCCGUGCCGCGUGAGUGAAGAAGGCCCUCGGGUUGUAAAGCUCUUUUGUCCGGGAAGAAAAGCAUCGGGCUAAUACCUCGGUGUUCUGACGGUACCGGAAGAAUAAGCACCGGCUAACUUCGUG